GGCCCACACGCUGCGGGGCCGGCCUCGGCCGCUGCCCCUCUCGGCCCUGUCGGCCUUCAGCUACGUCCCGCCGCGGCGCCGGGACCCGGAGGAGCACAGCUACUACCGCCGGCGGGGCCAGGCAAAGGGAAAGUUAGGACAAAGAGACAGACACACACGGAGGGGAGGAGACCUGGAGACAGCCAGAGGAAAGCGCGGAGCAGCCAAGGGGGCCCGCAGCCGCCCACCCUGCUGGCCUGCGUGCACACCCCUAGCUGCUGGGACUGCGUGACCACACACUUGUGCCACCCGCGUCUGUGCCGCCAGCCCCGACGCCAGAAGACUGCAUGCACACAGCCCAGCCUGCUCCCGGGCUCCUGUACCUGACAGCUCCGCUCCUGCCUCCCAGCAGCUUGCCAGGUCGGGUCGGCAGAUGGGGGCCAGAGGGACACUGGCUGUCAGAUCCGCCUUCACAGUUCUGCUCGCUGACCCUCCUAGACUGAGGGGGGUUUAAAGCUUCGGCUCCCCAUUUCCUCGCUACCCUGGACCCCGUUUUCUCUCCUGUGGACAAUAUAUUUUACAUGAACUCUUCUCUGCAAAUGAUUCGCUUAUGAAACAGGGAUCGUUUCGCUCUAUGACUGCAUCUUUAAGAGACGCCUAGAUUAUAAUCAGAAAUUGCACCGAGACGACAGAGAACACGCAAAAGGCCUGGGACUUCAUGUUGCUGAGGAGGUAGUGAUACCAGGUAUGCAGAAAAAGAAAGUCAUUUAAGGAGACAGAGAAGUGGCCCCAGCAGGGAGGGGUGCACGGGAGGCUGUGAUUUCGUGACAUCUGGAGACUCCAGCAGUGUAGCAGCCCCAGCAGGAGCAGGACAGAGAAGUGAGCAGGAAG
Heterocephalus glaber (naked mole-rat) is the source of this 870-nucleotide non-coding RNA. The record is from RefSeq and is a predicted model, not a curated record. NCBI's taxonomy places the organism in Eukaryota, Metazoa, Chordata, Mammalia, Rodentia, Bathyergidae.